RNAcentral lists this transfer RNA (62 nucleotides) under Vorticeros sp. n. MW-2019. RNAcentral's name for it is "tRNA-Gln". The record is from RNAcentral. Lineage: Eukaryota; Metazoa; Platyhelminthes; Prolecithophora; Plagiostomidae.
UAUAAGAUGGUGUAUAAGCAUAUAAAAUUUUGAUUUUUAUGGUAAGUUGUUCUUUCUUAUAG